This 631-nucleotide ribosomal RNA is filed under the name Salmonella enterica. Its description in RNAcentral is "partial 23S ribosomal RNA". It matches the Rfam family "Bacterial large subunit ribosomal RNA", at positions 1 to 651 of the family's 2925-position model. Lineage: Bacteria; Pseudomonadati; Pseudomonadota; Gammaproteobacteria; Enterobacterales; Enterobacteriaceae. The record is from RNAcentral.
GGGUUGUGAGGUUAAGCGACUAAGCGUACACGGUGGAUGCCCUGGCAGUCAGAGGCGAUGAAGGGCGUGCUAAUCUGCGAUAAGCGCCGGUAAGGUGAUAUGAACCGUUAUAACCGGCGAUACCCGAAUGGGGAAACCCAGUGUGAUUCGUCACACUAUCAUUAACUGAAUCCAUAGGUUAAUGAGGCGAACCGGGGGAACUGAAACAUCUAAGUACCCCGAGGAAAAGAAAUCAACCGAGAUUCCCCCAGUAGCGGCGAGCGAACGGGGAGGAGCCCAGAGCCUGAAUCAGCAUGUGUGUUAGUGGAAGCGUCUGGAAAGGCGCGCGAUACAGGGUGACAGCCCCGUACACAAAAGCGCAUAUGCUGUGAGCUCGAUGAGUAGGGCGGGACACGUGGUAUCCUGUCUGAAUAUGGGGGGACCAUCCUCCAAGGCUAAAUACUCCUGACUGACCGAUAGUGAACCAGUACCGUGAGGGAAAGGCGAAAAGAACCCCGGCGAGGGGAGUGAAAAAGAACCUGAAACCGUGUACGUACAAGCAGUGGGAGCCCCACCACUAAGCCAGUGGUGAACUCCACAUACGCAUCCUUUGCUGAGGAUACGGUUAACGGAGCGAAAGCGACGUUCGACC